CUUGGAUCUCAAGUGCUCACCCCUCCCUUGAAAACAAAGCAUGCAUUGUGUAAUUAUUGUGUACAAGCAGAGUACAUUCUUCAGCAUUGUAACUAACAUAAUAGGCCACAGUAAGGCAGUUGAUGAAGUUUAUUAUGAUUACGGCAAAGUAUUUGACACUGUUACACACAGUAAACGCAUUCAAAAAUUGCUGACUUCCAGACAUUACUCAUUUCUUGAUCAUUCAUGGCAGCAUUUACUCAUGGGUUAGCUCCUCCCCUCACAGCAGAAAGGACAGGAAAUAGAACUCUGAAACUGGUAUAAAUUGGUAUAUAUAGAUCAUCCCCCUUCCCAUCAGGCAAUCUAUAAUUUCUAGACCUUGUCUGGGUUUCGUGGAGGUGCUCUAAAUUUAAAGAUGGGUUCCUUAUUUCUUACGAUGGUUUGUCUUGUAUUAGUCUAACCUUGUUCAUUCUGUAGGUUUGGCUAUCGUGGCCUUAAUUCCUAUCUGGCUCUAUAUUUCUCCAGGAUAUUUCAGACAUUUGAAUGCCAGGGGGUUGCUGGUCUAGCACCCUCUAGGGUAAAUUAACUUGUCUGAACAGAUUUUAUGACAAUUUCCUAUAGAUUACUUGUUUGGCUUUUUUAAAAGUCUUCUAAGGUUUAUGCAGCUCAAUAAUGGUUUUAUAGCUAUUAGCUGUUUUUGAACUUUGUCCCUCCCUCUAUAUAUACUGCUUGGGUAUUACCCAUGAGUAAAUGCUGCCAUGAUUGAUCAGGAAUAAGGAAAAUUGUUUCAUACUUACUGUAAUUUUCUUUUCCUGAUCAUUAUUCAUG
Molecule: non-coding RNA, 807 nt
Organism: Pelobates cultripes (western spadefoot toad)
Lineage: Eukaryota; Metazoa; Chordata; Amphibia; Anura; Pelobatidae
Source: the annotation of a GenBank genome assembly